Vitis vinifera (wine grape) is the source of this 610-nucleotide long non-coding RNA. RefSeq lists it as uncharacterized. The transcript has 2 exons. The record is from RefSeq and is a predicted model, not a curated record. NCBI's taxonomy places the organism in Eukaryota, Viridiplantae, Streptophyta, Magnoliopsida, Vitales, Vitaceae.
CUUGAUUGGCAAUAGACUAACAUUUAAGUUGAAUCUCACUUGAUGGUCUCACAUUAUUGGUGAAUUUGCAUUUGGUUGAAAGUUUACUUUUCUUUAUGGCUUUAUUGUGGUGAAUAUUGGAAACAGCUUGGAUUUGUUUAAUUUCCAUGGAAGGUCCAAAUAGUCCAUGAGACAUGUCUUUGUAAUGUGAGUUAAGAGAAUGUUGACUUGUUAGUGUUAGUGUUGGACGGCCCAUCCAAAUGGCAUGUAUUUAAACUUGCCAUACAGGAAUCCUAGAGACAUGUCUUUAUUUUCCCUAUAAAGUCCCAUGUCUGUUCUGAUUAACUUUCCAUGGUUUAUAAUCAAUGAAGGUGUUCACUACUCACCAUUGGAUGGUUCGGAUAUACAAAUUAAAACCUCCGAAGAACAGGAUCCGUGUAAAAACAAAGAAAUCAAAAUCGAAAGCAAGCUCCACAACCAGCUCAAAAAAAAAAAGAAGAAUCCCUGGCAAUGAAAGGCACUUUCAGAAGAUGUUGUCUCCAAUCAGUUACUUGUAACCCACAUAUUUAAUAUCCAAAACACUAAUUCGUUCUCUUAAAAGUAAUUUCUACAGCAAUUUUAUCGUGGUCAA